Vicia villosa (hairy vetch) is the source of this 222-nucleotide small nucleolar RNA. RefSeq annotates it as small nucleolar RNA U3. The record is from RefSeq and is a predicted model, not a curated record. NCBI's taxonomy places the organism in Eukaryota, Viridiplantae, Streptophyta, Magnoliopsida, Fabales, Fabaceae. The transcript has a single exon.
ACGACCUUACUUGAACAGGAUCUGUUCUAUAGGCUCGUACUACUGUGUCCUUGAUUUCAAAGGAGACAGGAACAUACGUCUGGUGGAUGAACUAAGACCGUGUGAUCAGAGCGUGAAUAACGGCCAGGAUGAUCUACAUGUGUGGUCAUCAUCUAAGCUGUAGAUGAUCGUUCCUGGUUGGGUUCUACCAACUGGGGUGGUCACACGGUGCUCUGACAGACU